UACAGAGGGUGCAAGCGUUAAUCGGAGUUACUGGGCGUAAAGGGCGCGUAGGCGGUUGAAUAAGUGAGAUGUGAAAUCCCUGGGCUUAACCUAGGAACUGCAUCUUAUACUGUUUAACUAGAGUAUUGUAGAGGGUAGUGGAAUUUCCGGUGUAGCGGUGAAAUGCGUAGAGAUCGGAAGGAACACCAGUGGCGAAGGCGGCUACCUGGACAAAUACUGACGCUGAGGCGCGAGAGCGUGGGGAGCAAACAGG
RNAcentral lists this non-coding RNA (253 nucleotides) under uncultured bacterium. Its description in RNAcentral is "partial 16S ribosomal RNA". It matches the Rfam family "Bacterial small subunit ribosomal RNA", at positions 524 to 776 of the family's 1533-position model. RNAcentral also lists the same sequence under 1 other name. The record is from RNAcentral.